UUGCCUCAGUAACGGCGAGUGAAGCGGCAAUAGCUCAAAUUUGAAAUCUGCUCUUUUUGAGCCGAAUUGUAAUUUGUAGAGGAUGCUUCGGCUUACGUCUCGGUCUAAGUUCCUUGGAACAGGACGUCACAGAGGGUGAGAAUCCCGUUUGUGGCCGCGACUUCAGCCAUGUGAAGCUCCUUCGACGAGUCGAGUUGUUUGGGAAUGCAGCUCUAAAUGGGAGGUAUAUUUCUUCUAAAGCUAAAUACCGGCCAGAGACCGAUAGCGCACAAGUAGAGUGAUCGAAAGAUGAAAAGCACUUUGGAAAGAGAGUUAAAAAGUACGUGAAAUUGUUGAAAGGGAAGCGCUUGCGACCAGACUUGCCCGCGGAUGCUCAACCGGUCCUUCGGCCGGUGCACUCUUCCGCGGUCAGGCCAGCAUCAGUUCGAGUAGCCAGAUAAAGGCUUAGGGAAUGUGGCUCUCUUCGGGGAGUGUUAUAGCCCUUUGUGCAAUAUGGCUCACUUGGACUGAGGCCCGCGCUUCGGCUAGGAUGCUGGCGUAAUGGUCGUAAGCGGCCCGUCUUGAAACACGGACCAAGGAGUCUAACAUCUAUGCGAGUGUUUGGGUGUCAAACCCGUGCGCGAAAUGAAAGUGAACGGAGGUGGGAACCUUUUGGGUGCACCAUCGACCGAUCCUGAUGUCUUCGGAUGGAUUUGAGUAAGAGCAUAGCUGUUGGGACCCGAAAGAUGGUGAACUAUGCCUGAAUAGGGUGAAGCCAGAGGAAACUCUGGUGGAGGCUCGCAGCGGUUCUGACGUGCAAAUCGAUCGUCAAAUUUGGGUAUAGGGGCGAAAGACUAAUCGAACCAUCUAGUA
Molecule: ribosomal RNA, 852 nt
Filed under: Tubeufia filiformis
Lineage: Eukaryota; Fungi; Ascomycota; Dothideomycetes; Tubeufiales; Tubeufiaceae
Description: LSU rRNA
Rfam family: Eukaryotic large subunit ribosomal RNA
Source: RNAcentral